RNAcentral lists this ribosomal RNA (253 nucleotides) under uncultured bacterium. RNAcentral's name for it is "partial 16S ribosomal RNA". It matches the Rfam family "Bacterial small subunit ribosomal RNA", at positions 524 to 776 of the family's 1533-position model. The record is from RNAcentral.
UACGUAGGGGGCAAGCGUUGUCCGGAAUCAUUGGGCGUAAAGAGCGCGUAGGCGGCCCUGUAAGUCCGCUGUGAAAGUCAAGGGCUCAACCCUUGAAUGCCGGUGGAUACUGCAGGGCUAGAGUCCGGAAGAGGCGAGUGGAAUUCCUGGUGUAGCGGUGAAAUGCGCAGAUAUCAGGAGGAACACCUAUAGCGAAGGCAGCUUGCUGGGACGUUACUGACGCUAAGGCGCGAAAGCGUGGGGAGCGAACAGG